Neofelis nebulosa (Clouded leopard) is the source of this 543-nucleotide long non-coding RNA. RefSeq lists it as uncharacterized. Lineage: Eukaryota; Metazoa; Chordata; Mammalia; Carnivora; Felidae. The record is from RefSeq and is a predicted model, not a curated record. The transcript has 3 exons.
CUUCAGAGUCCUAGCCCCACAGUCAGUAGCUCGGCAGAGGGGGGACAAAUGCCCAAAGCCCCGGGCUGUGAAGGAAGCCUGCCAGACUCAGCACCAGCGGGGAGGGCUGUGUGCCCAUCACAGACAACCUCUGGGGCAGGCCCCCCCUCCCCACCGCCGCCCCAGGGUACAUCCUGGCACCCGCUGCAGGUGAGUCAACUCCGGUGCGACAGCCUCCAUCCUCUGCCCUGGAGAGCUGGACUCUAAAGAUGUCUCCAGCCGUGGCCAGUGAGUCACUUCACAUUACCGCAUGAGCCAGUGCCACCUCCCACCUUCCUCCCCGUGAAGAUGUUCACCUGAGUCAGCACAUCACACAUUCAUCAGGACGCGCAGCCCUAGCAUUUCUAAGAAAGAGGAAAACCAUAGCCCAGAGGAGGAGGAAGUCUUCUAAAGAGAGGGCCGCGUCCGCAGCGAGGACAGCGCUCCGGUACGGGACCCCCUACCCCGCCGCGGGAGGCGGGCCGGGCGCCGCAGUCGCAGGGGUGUCUGAGUCGGGGGCCAGAC